ACUCCUACGGGAGGCAGCAGUGGGAAUAUUGCGCAAUGGGCGAAAGCCUGACGCAGCAAUGCCGCGUGAGUGAGGAAGGCCUUCGGGUUGUAAAACUCUGUCAGAUAGGAAGAAUUGCCAAGGGUCCAAUAGGCCCUUGGAGUGACGGUACUAUCAAAGGAAGCACCGGCUAACUUCGUGCCAGCAGCCGCGGUAAUACGAAGGGUGCAAGCGUUGUUCGGAUUUAUUGGGCGUAAAGCGCAUGCAGGUGGUUUGUUAAGUCAGAUGUGAAAGCCCGGGGCUCAACCUCGGAAUUGCAUUUGAAACUGGCAGACUAGAGUACUGUAGAGGGGGUGAGAAAUUUCAGGUGUAGCGGUGAAAUGCGUAGAGAUCUGAAGGAAUACCGGUGGCGAAGGCGGCCCCUCGGACAGAUACUGACACUCAGAUGCGAAAGCGUGGGGAGCAAACAGGAUUAGAUACCCUGGUAGGCUCUGCU
RNAcentral lists this ribosomal RNA (475 nucleotides) under uncultured bacterium. RNAcentral describes it as "bacterial SSU rRNA". It matches the Rfam family "Bacterial small subunit ribosomal RNA", at positions 335 to 801 of the family's 1533-position model. The record is from RNAcentral.